Molecule: unclassified non-coding RNA, 1966 nt
Filed under: Leishmania donovani
Lineage: Eukaryota; Euglenozoa; Kinetoplastea; Trypanosomatida; Trypanosomatidae
Description: gene:LdHU3.29.3610(CDS-product:enoyl-CoA_hydratas e/isomerase-like_protein)
Source: RNAcentral
CACCUGCCGUUGGCACGCUUGCUCUUCUCCCCCUCGAUUCUCUAGUCCUUCUCUUUUCUUUUGCCCACCCUAUCUCACUUCUUAACUUCCACACCUACCGAAGGCUGACGCACGCGCGAAGCUGCUUUUUCAGCAAGUCCACGCAAGUCUGCUUCAGCUCCCUCCGCUCCCUCCUCCGCACUCCGCGAAGCUUAAUCGAGUGUCUUUCACUUCCUCAUCCCCCCCCCGGUGAUGUUCCGCUACUCCCACCUGAUUCGCUGCGCCGCGCAGCCUGUGGUAAAGGCGUGCCAGGUCGGCCCCGUGGUUACGUUAACUAUCAACCGCCCCACCCAGCUUAAUGCCCUCAACAGGGCCGUGUCGGAGAGCCUCAUGGAAAACUUGGAAAAGUACGACAAGGACCCCUCGUGCUCCGCGUUCAUCAUCACAGGCGAGGGUCGCGCAUUCGUCGCGGGGGCUGAUAUUAAGUCUAUGAAGGAUCGCACCUUUUCCGAGGGCGUCCUGUCAAACGACUUCCAAGCAUUGACCCGCAUCCGUACCAUCGGCAAGCCGAUCAUUGCGGCGGUCAAUGGUUUCGCUCUCGGCGGUGGGUGUGAGCUGGCCAUGUCCUGCGACAUCAUUGUCGCAAGCGAAGAGGCGAAGUUUGGACAGCCUGAGAUUAAGCUGGCGACCAUUCCAGGACUGGGCGGCACGCAGCGUCUGACGCGCAUGAUUGGCAAGGCUCGUGCGAUGGAGUGGGUUCUCUUGGGCAACACGUACACGGCGGCGGAAGCGGAGCGCGCGGGGAUUGUGUCGCGCGUGGUGAAACACGAGGAGCUGAUGCCGACGGCCAUGUUCAUGGCGGAGAAGAUUGCAAGCUACAGCCAGAUUGCCGUGAAGCUGGCCAAAAUGGCUGUAAACGAGUCGCAGGAGACGUUGCUCGCGGCUGGUUUGGCGUACGAGUCUAUGGUUUUCAACUCCACCUUCUCUACUCACGACAGAAAGGAGGGCAUGACCGCGUUUGUGGAGAAGCGCGCACCUCAGUUUCAAAACAAGUGAAGUGCUUCCCUGUUUUACGCUCGUGUACACUCUAUCCUCCUUGCUUCCUUCAGGUAGAUUCGGGUGAGGGCGGCAAGCGUGCCCAACUUCACUUUCCUCGGGGGUAGCGAGCAGAGCGGUGAGCGAGGGGGUUCGUCAAUGGAAACGAGAAAAAGAAAAGAGAGAAUCCAUCAGGGUGUGCAGCAGACAAGGAGACGGUAGGGACUUUGGACGCUCAACAUUCCCCUCUUUGUUGGCGCCGCCUCACAGAGAUGAGCAGUGGGAGAAACGCAUCAGGAGAAUGUGAGCGUUUAAUCGCGCCGCUCCCCUGCCUGCUUCCUUGCUGCUGCUUUCUUUAUUGCUAUUUUUUGUUUUCGUUGUUGCUGUGCUAUCCCUUCGCGUGUUGGAUGUGUCGCUCAGCUCCUUCUCCUUUGGCCUUUUGUUCUGCUUUGUGGUUUCUCUGUUUGGUGCGCCGCCUUUUUACCCAAAAUGUUUACGUUGUUUUUCGCUGCCUUUUGUUUUCACCGCACUCGCCAUCCCCCACUCCGCAGUAAAGGGUGUCUCUCAUCCCCCUUGUUUUUUUCUGAUUGAUGUGCUGGGACUGUCUUGUUUGCUGCGAUCUUCUGACUUCGAUUUGUUACUUCACUGUUUGAGCCGAUUAAAUCCAAUCUCACUCACCUGCACACAUACUCUCCUCUUGCUCGCUCACCGAGCGUGAUGUCUUGCUGUUUUGGUUUGUAGUUGCGUGUGAAAAAAAAAGAAAAGAGGAAUAGGAGGGGCAGAGGGUGACGUACCUUGACUACUGCCUGCAUGUGCGCUUACGCCUGUCUCUCAGGGUCUCUUUCUGACCGGGGCAAGCUACGUGUACCUCUUCCCUCCCCAUGCUCAAGAAUGUUUAUCCCCAAACCUCUUAUGCACCCCCUCCCAUAUUGCGCAAACCACAUUCUCCAAG